Oncorhynchus keta (chum salmon) is the source of this 150-nucleotide long non-coding RNA. RefSeq lists it as uncharacterized. The transcript has 3 exons. Lineage: Eukaryota; Metazoa; Chordata; Actinopteri; Salmoniformes; Salmonidae. The record is from RefSeq and is a predicted model, not a curated record.
UUGGAGUCAUUAAAACUAGAUUACAGACACUUAGGUUGGAGUCAUUAGAACUAGUUUACAUACACUGAGGUUGGAGUCAUUAAAACUAGAUUACAGACACUUAGGUUGGAGUCAUUAGAACUAGUUGACAUACACUUAGGUUGGAGUCCA